Molecule: ribosomal RNA, 253 nt
Filed under: uncultured bacterium
Lineage: Bacteria
Description: partial 16S ribosomal RNA
Rfam family: Bacterial small subunit ribosomal RNA
Source: RNAcentral
UACGUAGGAUGCAAGCGUUGUCCGGAAUUAUUGGGCGUAAAGAGCGCGCAGGCGGUAACUCAAGUCAGAUGUGAAAUAUCCGGGCUUAACCCGGAGGGGUCAUUUGAAACUGAGUAACUAGAGUACAGCAGAGGAUAGCGGAAUUCCCGGUGUAGUGGUGAAAUGCGUAGAUAUCUGGAGGAACACCGGUGGCGAAGGCGGCAUCCUGGACCGAUACUGACGCUGAUGAGCGAAAGCCAGGGGAGCAAACGGG